AGAGUUUGAUCCUGGCUCAGAACGAACGCUGGCGGCAGGCUUAACACAUGCAAGUUGAGCGGGAUUGUUAGUAGCUUGCUACUGAACAUGAGAGCAGCGCACUGGUGAGUAACACGUGGGAACAUACCUUUUGGUGGGGGACAACAGUUGGAAACGACUGCUAAUACCGCAUAAGCCCUAAGGGGGAAAGAUUCAUUGCCGAAAGAUUGGCCCGCGGAAGAUUAGGUAGUAGGUGGGGUAACGGCCUACCUAGCCGACGAUCUAUAGCUGGUCUGAGAGGACGAUCAGCCACAUUGGAACUGAGACACGGUCCAGACUCCUACGGGAGGCAGCAGUGAGGAAUAUUGGGCAAUGGAGGCAACUCUGACCCAGCCCAUGCCGCGUGAGUGAAGAAGGUUUUCGGAUUGUAAAGCUCUUUCAGACGGGAAGAUGAUGACGGUACCGUCAGAAGAAGCACCGGCUAACUUCGUGCCAGCAGCCGC
Molecule: ribosomal RNA, 482 nt
Filed under: uncultured bacterium
Lineage: Bacteria
Description: bacterial SSU rRNA
Rfam family: Bacterial small subunit ribosomal RNA
Source: RNAcentral